RNAcentral lists this ribosomal RNA (497 nucleotides) under uncultured bacterium. Its description in RNAcentral is "partial 16S ribosomal RNA". It matches the Rfam family "Bacterial small subunit ribosomal RNA", at positions 28 to 507 of the family's 1533-position model. The record is from RNAcentral.
GAUGAGCGCUGGCGGCGUGCCUAAUACAUGCAAGUCGAGCGAACGGACGAGAAGCUUGCUUUUCUGAUGUUAGCGGCGGACGGGUGAGUAACACGUGGAUAACCUACCUAUAAGACUGGGAUAACUUCGGAAAACCGGAGCUAAUACCGGAUAAUAUUUUGAACCGCAUGGUUCAAAAGUGAAAGACGGUCUUGCUGUCACUUAUAGAUGGAUCCGCGCUGCAUUAGCUAGUUGGUAAGGUAACGGCUUACCAAGGCAACGAUGCAUAGCCGACCUGAGAGGGUGAUCGGCCACACUGGAACUGAGACACGGUCCAGACUCCUACGGGAGGCAGCAGUAGGGAAUCUUCCGCAAUGGGCGAAAGCCUGACGGAGCAACGCCGCGUGAGUGAUGAAGGUCUUCGGAUCGUAAAACUCUGUUAUUAGGGAAGAACAUAUGUGUAAGUAACUGUGCACAUCUUGACGGUACCUAAUCAGAAAGCCACGGCUAACUACGUG